This 537-nucleotide long non-coding RNA is filed under the name Homo sapiens (human). RNAcentral describes it as "non-protein coding lnc-ZNF784-2:1". The record is from RNAcentral. Lineage: Eukaryota; Metazoa; Chordata; Mammalia; Primates; Hominidae.
GGAGGGGGCGCCCCGAAGGCGGGCGGCAGGGGCGGAUCGGGCUUCUUGGCUUGGGAAGAGGAAGAGGACGAAGAUGACGACGAGGAGGACGAAGAGGAGGAGGAGGAGGACGAGGACGAGGACGAGGAGGGCACCUCCGCCUUGGGCUUGAAGGUGGACUGGGGCGGGUAGUCAUACUGCGGGGGAGGGGGCUGCGGCGGGGGCUGCGGCGGGGGGCCGGGGGCGCAGGGCAGGGCCGCCACCGCCUUGGCGUGUUCCCCAUACAGUUCCAUGGGCUCGAAGCGCUGGUGGUUGAGGAAUUCCAGGAAGUCGAAGGGGUAGCUCUGGAAGUGCACCCCGUCCUCGCCCCCGAUGCCGCUGCUCCCGCCACCCCCGGCGCCGCUGCCCGCUGGGUUCGCCUCCAUCUCCGGCGGGUGGGAGACGGGAGACCCUGUGAAGAGGAGGACGGGGCUGAGGACACGGCCGCGGCGCUGGGUCUCCCCGCAGAUGGCAGGUAUCCAUGUGUGUACCCCACACCACACCAGACCCUCAGCACCC